GGUCCCGUAGCGCAGAGGCAGACGCGCCGCUUUCGCAAGGCGGAGACGCAGGUUCGAAUCCUGCCGGGACCA
Molecule: transfer RNA, 72 nt
Filed under: Saccharothrix sp. NRRL B-16348
Lineage: Bacteria; Bacillati; Actinomycetota; Actinomycetes; Pseudonocardiales; Pseudonocardiaceae
Description: tRNA-Ala
Rfam family: tRNA
About the family: Transfer RNA (tRNA) molecules are approximately 80 nucleotides in length. Their secondary structure includes four short double-helical elements and three loops (D, anti-codon, and T loops). Further hydrogen bonds mediate the characteristic L-shaped molecular structure. tRNAs have two regions of fundamental functional importance: the anti-codon, which is responsible for specific mRNA codon recognition, and the 3' end, to which the tRNAs corresponding amino acid is attached (by aminoacyl-tRNA synthetases). tRNAs cope with the degeneracy of the genetic code in two manners: having more than one tRNA (with a specific anti-codon) for a particular amino acid; and 'wobble' base-pairing, i.e. permitting non-standard base-pairing at the 3rd anti-codon position.
Source: RNAcentral